UUGGCAUAGCUCAGUUGGUGCAGCAUGAGACUCUUAAUCUCAGCGUCAUGGGUUUGUGCCCCACACUGGGCGAAA
This 75-nucleotide transfer RNA is filed under the name Podarcis lilfordi (Lilford's wall lizard). Its description in RNAcentral is "tRNA.Lys". The record is from RNAcentral. Lineage: Eukaryota; Metazoa; Chordata; Lepidosauria; Squamata; Lacertidae.